RNAcentral lists this ribosomal RNA (325 nucleotides) under uncultured eukaryote. RNAcentral's name for it is "partial 18S ribosomal RNA". It matches the Rfam family "Eukaryotic small subunit ribosomal RNA", at positions 1470 to 1796 of the family's 1831-position model. The record is from RNAcentral.
CCCUUAGAUGUCCUGGGCCGCACGCGCGUUACACUGAUGCAUUCAACGAGUUUUACCUUGGCCGAGAGGCCUGGGCAAUCUUUUAAACCUGCAUCGUGAUAGGGAUAGAUUAUUGCAAUUAUUAAUCUUGAACGAGGAAUUCCUAGUAAACGCAAAUCAUCAAUUUGCAUUGAUUACGUCCCUGCCCUUUGUACACACCGCCCGUCGCACCUACCGAUUGAAUGGUCCGGUGAAGCCUCGGGAUUGUGGCCAGUUCACUUUAUUGGGAGUUGGCUGUGAGAACUUGUCUAAACCUUAUCAUUUAGAGGAAGGUGAAGUCGUAACA